This is a long non-coding RNA of Macadamia integrifolia, 832 nucleotides long. RefSeq lists it as uncharacterized. The transcript has 3 exons. The record is from RefSeq and is a predicted model, not a curated record. NCBI's taxonomy places the organism in Eukaryota, Viridiplantae, Streptophyta, Magnoliopsida, Proteales, Proteaceae.
ACUUUCUUCCUCUCAUCGACGUUGAAGACCGCCAAGGCCAGAGUUCAACACCGACUAGACCUCCUUCCUCUCCCCAUGGCUUCACUCUUCUUUGGAUUUGGGCUCCAGUUUCGGCUUUCUGAGCAUUUGAUUUCCUCAUCUUCUCAAUCUCACCCGCAGGAACAUGGACUUCAUUUUGGAAGGGAGAGGAAGAUACGAAGUUAGGGUUUCGCGUUUCUGGAUUAGCAAAACCCACUGUUCGCUCCAUUCGCUCCAACGGUUCUGGAUUAGCAAAACCCAUCAUGUUUCUGGGUUUCGCAUUUCUGGAUUACCCUCCAAUGGUUCUCAUAUCAGCCCCAUUGUUCGCAACUCCGUUUGUAAUGCUAUUUUGAAGAUUGUGGGAGGUUGUUAUGAACAUGGUUUGGUUUUGGGUCCAGCAAUUUGGAUUCCUAUCAGCUUGUAUUUGCAGAUUACCAAUUACUAUGGUUCAUUACCCUUGCCAUUGUCAUUCUGCAGAUUAAUGGGUUGAUUUGCAAAUAUAAGAUUGGCUUUAAAAUUGUUUUGAGGUUGUAAUUGGCAGGUCUAAAAUUCUGAUUUAGAAGUGAAGAUGUGUAAUGAAAUUUAGACUAACCAGGUAUAGUGUAAUACUCUGUAAAGUCGUAGAACUGAAUCAAAAACUGUGUUUACAAAGUCACUUGUGAUGGUACUCGGAAACUAUGUUUUGUUCUUUGCUCCUUGGAAGCUUUCUUUCACCCAUAGAAAAAGGAAGAUUGGGUGGAUGCAAAUAAGCAUGUAUGUUUUGUCAAAUACAUGGUUUCCAUUUUUCGUUUUCUAAUGAUGGAUCUUUUGGUGC